UAGCAAUUGGAAAUCCCUGGCAAUGUGAUUUACAAUCGAAAUAAAAUCCCAUCUCCAGGAAUCCCCAUCCAUCA
Molecule: non-coding RNA, 74 nt
Organism: Pelobates cultripes (western spadefoot toad)
Lineage: Eukaryota; Metazoa; Chordata; Amphibia; Anura; Pelobatidae
Source: the annotation of a GenBank genome assembly